RNAcentral lists this ribosomal RNA (253 nucleotides) under uncultured bacterium. RNAcentral's name for it is "partial 16S ribosomal RNA". It matches the Rfam family "Bacterial small subunit ribosomal RNA", at positions 524 to 776 of the family's 1533-position model. The record is from RNAcentral.
GACAGAGGGGGCAAGCGUUGCUCGGAAUCACUGGGCGUAAAGGGCGCGUAGGCGGGAUGGCAAGUCAGUCGUGAAAUCUCUCGGCUCAACCGAGAAGCGUCGGCUGAUACUGCCGUUCUUGAGGGAUGCAGAGGAGACUGGAAUUCCCGGUGUAGCGGUGAAAUGUGUAGAGAUCGGGAGGAACACCGGUGGCGAAGGCGGGUCUCUGGGCAUUUCCUGACGCUGAGGAGCGAAAGCGUGGGGAGCGAACAGG